RNAcentral lists this ribosomal RNA (266 nucleotides) under uncultured prokaryote. RNAcentral describes it as "partial 16S ribosomal RNA". It matches the Rfam family "Bacterial small subunit ribosomal RNA", at positions 524 to 788 of the family's 1533-position model. The record is from RNAcentral.
UACGUAGGUGGCAAGCGUUAUCCGGAAUUAUUGGGCGUAAAGAGCGCGCAGGUGGUUGAUUAAGUCUGAUGUGAAAGCCCACGGCUUAACCGUGGAGGGUCAUUGGAAACUGGUCGACUUGAGUGCAGAAGAGGGAAGUGGAAUUCCAUGUGUAGCGGUGAAAUGCGUAGAGAUAUGGAGGAACACCAGUGGCGAAGGCGGCUUCCUGGUCUGUAACUGACACUGAGGCGCGAAAGCGUGGGGAGCAAACAGGGAUUAGAUACCCG